RNAcentral lists this long non-coding RNA (5540 nucleotides) under Brassica napus (rape). RNAcentral's name for it is "long non-coding RNA (BNAP_LNC022358)". Lineage: Eukaryota; Viridiplantae; Streptophyta; Magnoliopsida; Brassicales; Brassicaceae. The record is from RNAcentral.
CUACUCGUUCUCUCUCUCUCUCUCUCUCUCUCUCUCUCUCUCUCUCUCUCUCUCUCUCUCUCUUCCCUCUACGAUUAUAUUCUCUCCUCAUAAAUAAAUUAUCUAAAAUUUUCAUUUUUUCACCCCGAUCCAAGAUUUUAUUUUUACUGUUUUUACGACGGUUAAUAUUUAUUUAAUUGUGUUGGCUGACGUGGCAUGCAACCAAUAAAAAAGCACCAUGAACACCAAAACUAUGCGUCUUCCGCCACGUCGCGUUCAAACGCCAGACAAACGCAAAGAAAGAGACGGCGUUAUAUCCUCCGUCGUCCAAAAACCGCCGGAAACCUCCGUGAAGAAGCUUCCUCCGCCGCAUGUUGUUAACCGUCCGCCGGUUAAUUCCAAUACUAAUAAAUCCCUAAUCGCAGCCGAGCCGGUCGGCUCGAACCAGCUAAUUUUAGCGGGUUACUUGAGUCACGAGUUUCUCACCAACGGCACACUGUUCGGUGAGCAAUGGGAUCCGGCUCGAGCACAAGCCGGUGCGACCGAGUCGAAGAAGUUAAAGCGGAGCCAUAUUAGUGAGCCGGCUGAGGAAAGUGAGCCGAAAAGGAAGAGGUAUGUGGAGGUUGCUAAUCUUCUACGGUCUGACGGGGCCCACCUGCCCGGCAUCGUCAAUCCUGCCCAGCUUGCCCGUUUUCUCAAACUGUGAUCGCGUGUACACGUGUAAACAGAUCGUUGGUCCGUCGUUUGGGAAGCAAAACAGCUCUAAAACGGGAACCUCCUCCCUCCUCUCUAUCUCUAUCCUUUUUUUUUUUCCUCUCAAAUGUUUUUAAAUCAUCUAUGUAAAGCUGAAACUCGCUCUCUUCGUCGUCUUCCUCGAGAUUGAUCGAGAAAGCUUAGGGUUUGUUGUGAGGUAGAUGUUCAUGUCUUUGUACAUCAGACGUAUCAACUAGCCAAUCGAUUAAUAUUCUCAAGUUUUAAUUUAAUUUUUGUGGAUUUUUGAUGGUAUGAUGGUGAAUUGUAUGAAUCCGAUCAAUACAUGACGCAAAACUAUGAUAAAUAUUAUGUUGAUUAUUUAAUUCGGUCGAUGAUGAUGAUAAUUGUGAUCAUAAACAGAUGAUUGUCUAUGUCGUUGAGCUUCUUAGUUGAAUUCGAUUUGAUCUUUAUAGUGACGAGCUUGUGUUUGAAGCCUAUAGUUUGUUCUUGCUUUCUUAAAGGACAUGGAUCGUUUAUGGAUUAAUUAAAAAAAAGAACAGAACUUGAAACUUAUUCUCAGUCUUUGGAUCCUCAGUACUUGCUUUGGCCCAAUUGUCAGAUUAUCUUCGUCCGCUUUGGUUUAUUUGUAUUUGACAAUGCCUCCCCCUUCACGUCCACAGCACUUUCGUACGAGAUGUUCUUGCGUAUUUUGGCCAGUAACUUUGAUCAUCUCUAGCGUGAUGUUAGUUAGGUGUUUGUUGUAGAUUUCAUUUCAACACACACAAUGUAAUGAAGUCAUGAUCUCUCCCUCGUGGAUUACGAUUUGUACACUAAUAUGGCAGAACAUAACCAAUAAAUGUAGCCUCUAAACAGAAUAAUCUUUUUAUGAAGCUAUUGUUUUUUAAAAAAAUUGUAUCAAUUAGUGGCCAAUAAUUGAUCUGUUUUUACUAACAACUGCUGAUUUCCAUUCAGUUUUACCAAAUUAAGAUUACAAUACAUAACAAAUAUAUACAUUAAUUAGUUUUAAUCCACUUACAACUUGAUUUCGUUCGCUUAGUUUUUUUUGUUCUUAACUGGGCAUCGUAAUACAGUUUAUUAGCUCUCAGCAUUCUUUUUUUUUUUUUUGUUAACAAGACAAGCACGUACAUAAUAGCUUCUUCUUCCUCCUUUUUUUUCUUAGUUACUAUUUUGAUUUGGUUUGGCAAUUACAUUAUGGCCAACUACAAAAUGAAAAGCCUCUUGAAGGGUCUUAGGUACAUUUCUCAUAUGUUUGGUGAGUAAUUUUACAUUUGUGAAUAUAACUUAUAGGAAUUUUUGCCCUUGUAAUAGACUACUUGUUCAAAGAAAAUAAAUAAUAUGCUACUUUUAAAUCACCAAAAACUAUUAGUAUUAAUCUUUGUGAAACUGCGAAAUAUGAAGAAAACGAGAAAGAGCCAGAUCAGAUGCAAAUUGGAACUCCAACAGAUGUAAAGCAUGUUGCACACAUUGGUUGGUAUGGAGGAUCUGUCAAUCAAAACUCACCUAGCUGGGUAUAUAUAUACAUGUUUUCUCUAUAUUUCUGUAUAACGAUAUAGCAUCAUUAAUUAUAAACUAACAAUAGGUUUAAUGUAGAUGAAUGAUUUUAAAGCAUCGGGUGGUGGAUAUGCAUCUACGCCUCUAGGAAAUUAUAUCGUAGAGGAUGCCUCUGAAGGUAGCUCUAGUCAUAUUUAGCUACCUGUAGCUUUAGUCUAACAUAAAUAUAUAUUUUAAAUACAUUUCUUACAACGCAGUAUAUAUAAUGUAGAGAUGCUUACGUACGUGCAGAUUCAACUCGAGCACGUGACAUACCAAGACAUCCAAGAUCGUCGAGAGACGGUUUGAACAAUGUGGAUUCACCAAUAAAAGGACGAUCACGACGUGGAACCUUAAACUCUAGUGGGAAUCCAAAAACUUCACGGAGGUCAAAAGAAACUUGUGAUAAUCCUCAAGACGGUUCUAGAAAAUCUCGUAGAAGAAAAAACUAGAGAUUGUGCGAAUGAUGGAUCGUCGCGUAGCACAUGCAGAUCGGCAGACAUAAUCUAUAGUGUCUAUUAAAGAAUCAAUAAUAUCAAUCUCUGGUGAUAUAUAUGUUUAAGACGCAAGAUAUAAGUGUGGUCUUAUAAAACUAUCAUGUAGCUUUUAAGCUUUGGUUUGUCUUUCAUCUAACCGGUUGAGUUUAUCACAGCUCAUUUCACAAGAUAGAGUUAGUUAUUAGAUUAUAAUCAUGCAUGGUUUAGAGAAAACAAUUACGGUGUAAUUAAGAAGUUUACGUGCAGUCGUCAUGUUAUUUGGUUAGCAUCUUAAAACAAAUUAUGAGUAAAGAGAAUAAAUUAUCAUCCCUCAUUUUAAUGUUGUUUGUGAAUAUUUAAUUUUAAAACAGUUUCAUGGUUAAUGAUGCAUGUGUACACGAUCAUCCAGUUGCAUUAGAAAAAUUGUGUCUUUCUAUAGCAACACUUGUGUAUAGUUUAGGAUUGAGCCAUUUGUCUUGGACUCUUGGUCAAGGUCAACAAUUUAAAAACCAGAAAAUAUUAUUAAACCGAACUUAACCGGCUACAUAACCGGAUGAAAUCAGCGGUUUAUUACACAUUAUGAGUCUUCUCCACGGACACGGAGGAGGGUGGAGAGAAGACAUUAAAUCCGGAUUUUGAAUUCAAUAAACUUCUCUACGAAUGCGACUCUUGAAACGUUACCAUUGACAUUCCGACUUUCUCGGGGAGAGAGCUCUUCUACUCUUCUUCUUUCAGCGCAAGUUUGCUCUUUCUCACGAAACCUCUGGUGGUGAUAAUGUCUACGGCGAGUUUGUAUCGGAGGUUCCUUCCCUCUCCUCCGGCGAUAGAUUUCGCUUCUGUUGAAGGCAAGGUGCGUAUUAUCAUGGAAAUUGAAAUCAAGGUUUUUUUUUUUUUUUUUGUUAUCUGCUUGUGGUCAGUGACGAUCUUUGAUUUUGGUUUUCCGUAGAUUUUGUUCAUUGUCUUAGAGACUAGAUCUGAGUAUGUGAAUUAGCUAACAUCAAAAGACUGUUUAAAAAAAAAAAAAUAAUAAUAAUUUCAAGAUAGUUCAUUUGCAAUCAACAGUCACUGAGGAUUAAACUCAAUCGAGUCUCUCUGAAGAGUUUGAAAAUUCUAUUGUUUGCAGAAAAUCUUCAAUGAGGCGCUUCAGAAAGGAACCAUGGAAGGGUUCUUCAGGCUGAUCUCUUAUUUCCAGACGCAGUCCGAGCCUGCUUACUGUGGAUUAGCUAGUCUUUCCAUGGUUUUGAAUUCUCUCUCUAUUGACCCCGGGAGGAAAUGGAAAGGUAAUAUAUAUACUUCUAAUUCAUGACUUUUACAAGACCACAUUAGUUUCUUGAUUUUUCUUCUUCUUGUGUUUCUCUCUCUCUCUCUCGUAGGGCCUUGGAGGUGGUUUGAUGAAUCUAUGCUGGAGUGUUGCGAGCCACUUCAGAUAGUGAAGGAUAAGGGCAUUACGUUUGGGAAAGUUGUCUGUUUGGCUCAUAGCUCUGGUGCUAAAGUCCAAGCUUUCCGCACUACUCAGAGCACUAUUGAUGAUUUCCGCAAAUACGUCUUGAAAUGUUCCACUUCUGAUAAUUGUCAUAUGAUCUCAACAUAUCAUAGAGGAAUAUUCAAGCAGGUACAGCUUUUUUUUUGGGGGGCCUAAACUGUGUAUAAAUUAACAGUAAUAUGGCAUCUAGGUGAAUUUUAACACUACCCAUAAGGUGCUCCUGUGUAUCUGAAUGUCAUUAUGAAGUUUGAGAUUGCUGAAGUUCUUUAGUUUCUUGCUAGAAAGUUUCAUGUUGAUUGUGAUUUUAAUAACCCUGGUUGCAGACUGGAAAUGGCCAUUUUUCACCUAUUGGUGGCUAUAAUGCUGAAAGAGAUAUGGCUUUGAUUCUUGAUGUCGCUCGUUUCAAGUAUCCUCCUCAUUGGGUUCCUCUUAAGCUUCUUUGGGAUGCCAUGAACAGUAUUGAUCAGUCAACAGGGAGACAUAGAGGGUACAUUAUCUUUCUUUCGUUUUUUCUUAGCCUUUACUUCUAUGAUUGAAGAAGGUAAUCCUCUUCUAUCUUACGCAAUUGCCUUUUCUGAUGUUCUCCUUUACUUCCAGGUUCAUGCUUAUAUCUAGACCCCACAGAGAACCAGGAUUACUCUAUACUCUGGUAAGUCCAAAGUCCUGGUGCUAUUCAUAGUUACUGCUAGUUUGUCUUCAAUCCUUCACACUGUAGCUGUUAUUAGUAUUCUUAUCCUAAAACAAUUUUCACAUUGAUGUGAGUGUGAACUUUUAAGAGAACAUUUUGUUUCAAAGUUUGAGUGAGUGAUGAUUCCUGAUUAUAUAUUUCAGAGUUGUAAAGAUGAGAGCUGGACCAGCAUAGCAAAGUAUUUGAAGGAAGAUGUUCCUCUUCUUGUAAGCUCGCAGCAUGUUGAUACUAUUGAAAGAAUCUUGGAUGUUGUUUUUAAGUCACUUCCGUCAAACUUCAACCAAUUCAUCAGAUGGAUGGCUGAGAUAAGAAGAACAGAGGAUAUAAACCAAAAUCUCAGCUCAGAAGAGGAAUCAAGGCUCGACCUAAAGAUUGUGUUGGCUGACGUGGCAUGCAACCAAUAAAAACGCACCAUGAACACCAAAACUAUGCGUCUUCCGCCACGUCGCGUUCAAACGCCAGACAAACGCAAAGAAAGAGACGGCGUUAUAUCCUCCGUCGUCCAAAAACCGCCGGAAACCUCCGUGAAGAAGCUUCCUCCGCCGCAUGUUGUUAACCGUCCGCCGGUUAAUUCCAAUACUAAUAAAUCCCUAAUCGCAGCCGAGCCGGUCGGCUCGAACCAGCUAAUUUUAGCGGGUUACUUGAGUCACGAGUUUCUCACCAACGGCAC